RNAcentral lists this ribosomal RNA (253 nucleotides) under uncultured bacterium. RNAcentral's name for it is "partial 16S ribosomal RNA". It matches the Rfam family "Bacterial small subunit ribosomal RNA", at positions 524 to 776 of the family's 1533-position model. The record is from RNAcentral.
UACAGGGGGUGCAAACGUUGCUCGGAAUCAUUGGGCGUAAAGCGCACGUAGGCGGUUUGUUAUGUCGGAUGUGAAAGCCCUUGGCUCAACUGAGGAAGUGCAUCCGAAACUGGCAAGCUAGAGUACUAAAGAGGAUCGCGGAAUUCCCGGUGUAGAGGUGAAAUUCGUAGAUAUCGGGAGGAACACCAGUGGCGAAGGCGGCUUUCUGGCCAUCAACUGACGCUGAGACGCGAAAGCGUGGGGAGCAAACAGG